AGGUUGUCUGCAGAGUGAGAUUAUGGCGAAGCAUUUUAUUCUUUUUACAAACCUGCUUUUUCUCAGUUUUCCACAUUGGAUUUGCCAGCUACCUGCCUUUGCAGGACACCUCAGAAGUUACAGACUUGCCUGUGGAAAUGCAGAGAGCACCUGAGGUAUUUCCCGGACUCUCCAGUAGUAGCCUUGAAUGGCUGACCAACCGCAGUCACCUGCCAGAUCUUCUCAGAACCGGCCAGCCCACCAGCGACAGGCCCAUUAAGUGGCCUGGCCCAGCCCAGAUGGAAAACCCCCUCCACGUGACUUUCUAAAGAACAUGCAUGAAGACAAAACACCAGGUGCCUCAGGUGUGACACCCUGAGGACACAUCACCUGUACAGUAUCCUAACC
Molecule: long non-coding RNA, 387 nt
Filed under: Homo sapiens (human)
Lineage: Eukaryota; Metazoa; Chordata; Mammalia; Primates; Hominidae
Description: non-protein coding lnc-SBF2-2:4
Source: RNAcentral